UGAACGUGGGAGCCCCACGCCUGAGGACUCCUCCUGCGGGCGUAUCGUUCCCGACAGAUUCUCCCACAGAAGGCGAUCGCAUGUGCUGGCUACCUCCCCUCCGUCCACCUGUCUCCUCUCUGUCCGGGUGAGCCCUUCUGACCGGACCAGAUGGGCUUCUGCCUAGGCUCAGCCAACGGGAAGCAUCACUGGUGGAAGGUGAUUGGAAGGUCCCACAUAUGAGUGCCAUCACCUGUCUUGCUCUGCCUGACUUAUUUCACGGGGCAUAACGCCCUCCAGGUGCAUUCACGUUGCCUGAUUUGGAAUCUUAACGCCACGUGCAGUGUCCCCUUCACAGCAGCACCUAUGUGACCAGGGCGGCACCAUCCGUGGUCAGUCAAGUGGAUCCACGUGCUCCCCCUCCGCCCACACCGCCCCCUCUGAGAGGACGUGCUGAGAAAAGCACUUCGGCCGGCUGGCUUCGGGUUUCUCCCCAGGACGCCCCAAAGCGGUCAAAGUCCUCAAAACCCAAGGCAAGUUUGGGAAAUUAUCACAGACCAGCGGAGACUUGAGAAGGCAUGACAGAGGCCGGGCGGUACCCCGGGGUGGGGUCCUGGAACAGAAAAGGGGCAUCAAGGGAAAAUGAGCUAAAUCUCAGUAACGCCUCACGUUUGGUUGACAGCAGUCUAGUGGCUUUGGUUCCUGGGUUUUGAGACGU
This is a long non-coding RNA of Herpailurus yagouaroundi (jaguarundi), 697 nucleotides long. RefSeq lists it as uncharacterized. NCBI's taxonomy places the organism in Eukaryota, Metazoa, Chordata, Mammalia, Carnivora, Felidae. The record is from RefSeq and is a predicted model, not a curated record. The transcript has 3 exons.